Molecule: long non-coding RNA, 863 nt
Organism: Nematostella vectensis (starlet sea anemone)
Lineage: Eukaryota; Metazoa; Cnidaria; Anthozoa; Actiniaria; Edwardsiidae
Exons: 2
Source: RefSeq, a predicted model, not a curated record
UCUAAAAGUUAUCGUGAUAAUAACAAAGCUGUAAUAUUUUGGUUUAUUGCUUGAUUUUAAAACUAGGUAUUUGACUUAUCAUGAGAGUGAGUUGUUUUAUUUAAUAGCAAUUAAUUCUACGCAAAGUAGCUCGUUAUGCUCGUUUAUAUCGACGACUUAAGCUUUUCUUCAUGAGAAUAUCUUCUGUGUCUAAGACUAUCGCAUGGCGUAUUUUGUUAUAAAAGCUAUAAAAACCAUUCACUUGUGUUGACGAAUUCCUUGCUAGCAGAAAGAACACGGUUUACAACAAAAAGCGAACACAACCACUAGGCGACAAACAUAAAGCGACCAAAAAAACACUGCCAAGGUGAGUUUUUGACGAUGAUUUGUAUUGGAAAUAUGACAUUUUUUUUCAUUUAUUAUUGUGCUUUUAUAAUGCAUGUUUGUUCGCUAUUUUCCCAAAACCAAUGGCUCAAACUAAAACACCGUACCAGCUUUAGUAUGACGUCAAGACGACAUAUCAAUGUCAGCUAUCCUUGUUUUGAUUGGCUAAAAUACCAUCUACUUGAAUUCCGGUUGGCUUAUAAUUUUGGCACUUGAAUGGCUUUUAUUCAACUGACAAUCGCCAUGAAAAUGUUAAAACUUAACUUCGUAAAUACUUAUACAAGUUCUAUAAAUUCAGGCGUAUAUUCCUCACGGUAAAACCAACCAAGGACUACCUGAGGGUCGUGAUUGAUGCUAAAGGCUGGAAGGCAUAAGAAUAGGCAAAUGUAGCCGGGAUUUUUUUUUUACUUUGAUACAGCAGUAUAAGUGUAAUAGGGUUUUUAGUGCAAGAUGCUUUGUGUCAAUGAUACUGUAAAUCUGUAAAACAUUUUUUAUCAACC